RNAcentral lists this transfer RNA (73 nucleotides) under Gammaproteobacteria bacterium. RNAcentral describes it as "tRNA-Lys". It matches the Rfam family "tRNA". Rfam says of the family: Transfer RNA (tRNA) molecules are approximately 80 nucleotides in length. Their secondary structure includes four short double-helical elements and three loops (D, anti-codon, and T loops). The record is from RNAcentral. Lineage: Bacteria; Pseudomonadati; Pseudomonadota; Gammaproteobacteria.
GGGCGGUUAGCUCAGUCGGUAGAGCAGUGGCCUUUUAAGCCAUUGGUCCAGGGUUCGAGUCCCUGACCGCCCA